UACGAAGGGGGCUAGCGUUGCUCGGAAUCACUGGGCGUAAAGCGCACGUAGGCGGAUUCUUAAGUCAGGGGUGAAAUCCUGGAGCUCAACUCCAGAACUGCCUUUGAUACUGAGGGUCUUGAGUUCGGGAGAGGUGAGUGGAACUGCGAGUGUAGAGGUGAAAUUCGUAGAUAUUCGCAAGAACACCAGUGGCGAAGGCGGCUCACUGGCCCGAUACUGACGCUGAGGUGCGAAAGCGUGGGGAGCAAACGGG
Molecule: ribosomal RNA, 253 nt
Filed under: uncultured bacterium
Lineage: Bacteria
Description: partial 16S ribosomal RNA
Rfam family: Bacterial small subunit ribosomal RNA
Source: RNAcentral